GUGAAUCAUCGAAUCUUUGAACGCACAUUGCGCCCCCCGGUAUUCCGAGGGGCAUGCCUGUUCGAGCGUCAUUAUAACCUAUCCAGCCCUGCUGGGUCCUGGGCUCGCCGUCUGGCGGGCCCCAAAGCUAGUGGCGGUGCCGUCCGGUGCUGGAGCGUAGUACAACCCCUCGCUACCGGCCCUGAGCGCGCGCCCGCCAGCGACCCCCUUUCUAUGGUUGACCUCGGAUCAGGUAGGGAUACCCGCUGAACUUAAGCAUAUCAAUAAGCGGAGGA
Molecule: unclassified non-coding RNA, 275 nt
Filed under: Pleuroascus sp.
Lineage: Eukaryota; Fungi; Ascomycota; Leotiomycetes; Helotiales; Pleuroascaceae
Description: partial contains 5.8S ribosomal RNA, internal transcribed spacer 2, and large subunit ribosomal RNA
Rfam family: 5.8S ribosomal RNA (bases 1-71)
Source: RNAcentral